CGAACGGGUGAGUAAUGCGUGACCAACCUGCCCCAUGCUCCAGAAUAGCUCUUGGAAACGGGUGGUAAUGCUGGAUGCUCCAACUUGACGCAUGUCUUGUUGGGAAAGUGUUUAGUGGCAUGGGAUGGGGUCGCGUCCUAUCAGCUUGUAGGCGGGGUAAUGGCCCACCUAGGCUUCGACGGGUAGCCGGCCUGAGAGGGCGGACGGCCACAUUGGGACCGAGAUACGGCCCAGACUCCUACGGGAGGCAGCAGCG
RNAcentral lists this ribosomal RNA (256 nucleotides) under uncultured Gardnerella sp. RNAcentral describes it as "partial 16S ribosomal RNA". It matches the Rfam family "Bacterial small subunit ribosomal RNA", at positions 99 to 356 of the family's 1533-position model. The record is from RNAcentral. Lineage: Bacteria; Bacillati; Actinomycetota; Actinomycetes; Bifidobacteriales; Bifidobacteriaceae.